Molecule: ribosomal RNA, 439 nt
Filed under: uncultured Bacillota bacterium
Lineage: Bacteria; Bacillati; Bacillota
Description: bacterial SSU rRNA
Rfam family: Bacterial small subunit ribosomal RNA
Source: RNAcentral
GGGCCCGCACAAGCAGUGGAGUAUGUGGUUUAAUUCGAAGCAACGCGAAGAACCUUACCAAGCCUUGACAUCUCCUGCAUAGCAUAGAGAUAUGUGAAGUCCUUCGGGACAGGAAGACAGGUGGUGCAUGGUUGUCGUCAGCUCGUGUCGUGAGAUGUUGGGUUAAGUCCCGCAACGAGCGCAACCCUUACUGAUAGUUACUACGAGAAGAGGACUCUAUCGGGACUGCCGUUGACAAAACGGAGGAAGGCGGGGAUGACGUCAAAUCAUCAUGCCCUUUAUGGCUUGGGCUACACACGUACUACAAUGGCCGCAAACAAAGGGGACCGAAGGGGUGACCCGGAGGGAAUCCGAUAAAAAGCGGUCUCAGUUCGGAUUGGAGGCUGCAACUCGCCUCCCAUGAAGUCGGAAUUGCUAGUAAUCGCGGAUCAGCAUGCCG